UCUAUCCUUUGGUAUGUGAUGCUGAGGCUGGAGUCUCCCUUAGCUUUUUCCUUCUGGUUAGCAUCUGACAGUGGGAGGCACUGAGAGUCAGUGGAGACAGAAUGGAAGGAAGAAAUAAGUCACAAAGCAUCCCUUCAUGUUUUCCUGGCCCAUCCGCUUUUCUCCGGCAACAAUAGACAGUUGGUUCCAGCUCUCAGCACACCAGCACCUGCCUCAGCUGAGUCCUUCCUCAAUAACCCAUCCACAAAGUACCCACUUGGAGAACAUAUGGAUUAAUAAACAAAUUGAAAAGUGAAUGGAUGCACUGACCUAACAGUUGCAGACAUAAAUGGAAGCAGCAUGAGGAAGGGCCAAGCAAUGGAACAAAGAAUCAGGACCCGCCAGCUUUAAAGAACCAUCAGAUGCUCAAAUGGCCAGGAGACAUCAAUAUUUUUUUGGCGCCCCAACAUGAAGCGGAUGUGUUAAAGCCACAUUGAAUGUGACAGAGAAGACACCAGAAUAGCUACCAACCCUGACUUUAAAACUCAGCAAUUAUCUUGAGUCCAAUACUCUCUAAGACCCGGAUGGUAAAAUUAAGGCAGAAGAAACCUGAC
Molecule: long non-coding RNA, 593 nt
Organism: Prionailurus viverrinus (fishing cat)
Lineage: Eukaryota; Metazoa; Chordata; Mammalia; Carnivora; Felidae
Exons: 4
Source: RefSeq, a predicted model, not a curated record